GAGAAGAAGAGAGACAGAGAGAGAUUGAAAGAGAGAUUGAAGAAGAAAUAUGUAAACAGAAGCAAAUAGAGAUGGAAGAGAUAGAACGAGAAAGGGAGAAAGAGAGACAGAGCGAGAUCAAAAGGAAGAGAAUGGAGAAGAGACAGAAAAUUAUGGAAAGAGAAGAAGAGAGACCGAGAGAGAUUGAAAGAGAGAUUGAAGAAGAAAGAUGUAAACAGAAGCAAAUAGAGAUGGAAGAGGAAGAAAGAGAAGAAGAGAGACAGAGAGAGAUUGAAGAAGAAAGAUGUAAACAGAAGCAAAUAGAGAUGGAAGAGAUAGAACGAGAAAGGGAGAAAGAGAGACAGAGCGAGAUCAAAAGGAAGAGAAUGGAGAAGAGACAGAAAAUUAUGGAAAGAGAAGAAGAGAGACAGAGAGAGAUUGAAGAAGAAAGAUGUAAACAGAAGCAAAUAGAGAUGGAAGAGGAAGAAAGAGAAAGGGAGAAAGAGAGACAGAGCGAGAUCAAAAGGAAGAGAAUGGAGAAGAGACAGAAAAUAAUGAAAAGAGAAGAAGAGAGACAGAGAGAGAUUGAAAGAGAGAUUGAAGAAGAAAGAUGUAAACAGAAGCAAAUAGAGAUGGAAGAGGAAGAAAGAGAGAGGGAGAAAGAGAGACAGAGACAGAUUGAAAGAGAGAUUGAAGAAGAAAGAAGUAAACAGAAGCAAAUAGAGAUGGAAGAGGAAGAAAGAGAAGAAGAGAGACAGAGAGAGAUGGGUGAGAAAGAGAGACAACAACAACAAGAGGAGAGACAGAAACAAAAGGAGAAGGAGAAAGAAAGGGAGAAAGACAAUGAGAAUCAGAGAGAGAUGGAAUUAAGAGAUCAGCAACAGAAAGAGAUUGAGAGAGAAAAGAUGAUUAUGAGAGAAAGGGAGGAAGCAGGAAGAAGAAAGGAGGGGCAGAAAAAUAUUUUGGGGGAAGUUGAGGGACAGAAUGAACUGGAGAUAGAACAGGAGAGAGAGAUGGAAGAAAAGCAGGAAGUGAUUAAGGAAGCAGAGGAAGAGUACAGGGAAAGAGAAGAGAGAGGAAAGGAAGUAAGCAUGAAGAAACAUGUAGUAGUUAAUGUUAAAGCAAAAGCACGGGAAGUCUUCAAUAGGCGUAAAGAGAGGAGGUUAGAAGUGUUGAAGGGGGAACGAGAACACAUAGAAAGAGGACAACAAAUCAGGAGGGAGAAGGAGGAAAGACGGCUGGAGAUGGAAAGAAAACAGGAGAGGGCAAGACAACAAGAGGAGCAGGAUAGAAAACAAGAGAUUGAAAUUGCUAGACAGAAAGAAAUGUUGAGACUAAGAGAGGAGGAGAGGCAGAGAGAGGAUGAGAGAGAGGAGCAGAGAAAGAGAGCCAUUGAAGGCCAUUUAGCUUUAAUCAGAGAGAGAGAAAAUAUAAUACAGGCAAAAAAAAGAGAGGAGAUGGUGGAAGAUGAAAGAAGGAAGAUCCUUGAGUACAAGAGGGGUGAGUUAGAGGAGGAGGAGAAGGAAGAUGACAAGGAGGACAUUCUCCCACCUGAUAAUAGUAUCCGAAGGAGAGCUGUGGGCUGGGUGAACAAGAAGUGGGAGAAGAGGAACCUCAAAAAGAUAGAGAGAACCUGUCAGAGAGAAGCUGAGGAGGGCCAUAAGAUCGUCCACAUAGAACCAGCAGGAGGGGCCAGAGAACCAACAGGGGGGGCCAGACAGCCAGCAUCUAGAAGCUCCAGAAGAGGUUGAAACAUCAGAGCCAACUUCCAAGAACAAGAAAAAGCCAAGCAUCUGGAAGAAAAUUAGGAUGGGGUAAAGAAUGUUUAAACAUCUAUUCAUGUUUUACACUGUUAAUAUAUACAUGUUAUCACUUUAAAAAGUGACAUUAUCCAAAUGUGAGGGUUUAGUGUACAUGCAACACACAUGUAAAUAUAUAGAUACUUACCUGUCUCUGUGAUGUCUUACAGCCUUCCUGAUGUGCUGUCUGCCUAGAGCUGGAACUCGAUGAAGCCACAGUUCCACUGAGGUUACGUUGGUAAUUAAAAGUGUCGCCCAAUAAUUCCUCCUCCUCUUUACGUCAUCAAGCCACAUUUCCUCCUCAAAACAUUAUAGUCUCCUCAAGCCAGCAAGUAUCCUCUUUAUCAGGCAACAAACCAUCGAAGGUCAGUGACCCUCCUCCCCAGAGCAGAGACUCUCAUCUUUAUCCUAGUUAAAUUAAUCUCUGAUCACCACCUCUACAGUCCUAGAAAAUAUCCCCAAAAUGGAAAUGGUUUCAACAGAAGUCCUCCCCUCAGACCAGUGGCUCCACAGACCAGAGUUUCUCAUCUUUAUUCAAGUUGAAUGCAACUCUGAUCAUUUCCACCACCUCUCCUGUUAAGGGGAGGUGCUGAAAAGGAGGUCUGGGAGGAGGUCUGCAGGUAGCCUGGACCGGACCGGUAGCAGCUAAGUUGCUGGCUCCAUCCCCGGGCAGAGCUGCUCAAGUCAGGCCACUGAUGUUUGAUGAUGUCAUUUUUGUUAUCAAAUUUAUUAAAAAACAAUAUUGUUGUUACGGUGUGGAUUGUUUUGUUAUUUAUUAGAAUUGAAACAUCCAGUAGUCAUGGUAGAUGUUAGACUUUCAAUGAGACACCUAACAUUCCAUCAGUUUGAUACAAUGUGUGACAUGUUAUACUAGUGAGGAGUCCUCUAUACACAUCUAUUUUAGACCAUAGGAGAAAUAUCAGAUUGAAAUAGCUUCUCUAAGAAUCUGAGGAGAGAGCAACAGUAGACGCAUCGUUAGCUCUCCCACCUCCAGUUCAGUACUCGGGUCAUUCCACCUUUUGGGGAGUGUAACUUUUAUUUCUCCUAAUUCUAACAUUCUGUCAUAAAGAGCACAUGUUCAACUUAAUAUAAAACAUGUUUCCCUUCUCAAGAGUAACAAAUACAUACUAUAGCAAGUGCUUGUGUGGAAUUGUUUGUUGUAAGUGCACGUUUGACUGGUGCACAACGGGUUAUUUUGUACCCACAUUUUGUUGUUCUGGAUGCCGUUUGUUUUGUUAAAUAAACUGCUCCGGUUAUUACCCAGUUCUGCUCUCCUGCGCCUGACUUCCCUGCCGCCAGUUACGCACCCCUUACAGAAUUCCACAACAACUAUAUGGAGUCAGCAGUAGCAGGUGCCCUUGGUAUAGGGGUCGAGGACCGCGUCCGGGAGCACGCAGCGAUGCUCCACCAUCUUGGCGCUGCCAUGGACCGCGUCGUCCAAACCCUCCAGCACCUCCACCAGCACAACAGGGGCCUCCACUGGCCCCUGGAGCGGGAUGGAACGACAGGGCCCUGAUCGACCACUAUCGCUGCAGUUUGCGCGAGGAUGUCUGUCGGGAGCUGGCCUUCACCCUCACCUUCAAUCAGCUGGUGGACCUGUCCAUUCGGCUGGAUAACCUGCUGGCUACCCGCGGACAUCCAGAUCGGGGUCUGUCAGUUCCAUCCCCCAGCACCACCGCUCCGAUGCCCAUGGUGCUGGGAGGUGCUGCGUUUAGGGAGACCGGAGGAGGUUCCAUCUCGUGCACCAUCUGUGGCCGAAGAGGUCACACGUCUUCCGGCACUACGGGGUGCCUGAGGAUAUAGUGUCUGAUCGGGGUCCUCAGUUCACUUCGAGGGUCUGGAGGGCGUUCAUGGAACGUCUGGGGGUGUCGAUCAGACUUACCUCAGGUUUUCACCCCGAGAGUAAUGGGCAGGUGGAGAGAGUUAACCAGGAUGUGGGUAGGUUUCUGAGGUCUUAUUGCCAGGACCGGCCGGAGGAGUGGGCUGCGUUCGUGCCCUGGGCAAAGAUGGCCCAGAACUCGCUCCGCCACUCCUCCACUAACCUCUCCCCAUUCCAGUGAGUACUGGGAUUCCAGACGGUUUUGGCACCUUGGCAUCAGAGUCAGAUCGAGGCUCUUGCGGUGGACGACUGGUUCAGGCGCGUGGAGGAGACAUGGGAAGCAGCUCAUGUUCACCUCCAGCGGGCCGUGCUGCGCAGGAAAGCCAGCGCAGACCAUCACCACGGUGAGGGCCCGGUUUUCGCACCGGGGGACCGGGGUCUGGCUCUCUACCCAAAACCUGCCCCUCCGCCUGCCGGAAGCUGGGGCCACUUAAAAUCCUGAGGAGACUGAACAAGGUUAGUUACAGGUUAUAGCUUCCCCC
Molecule: long non-coding RNA, 4139 nt
Filed under: Oncorhynchus mykiss (rainbow trout)
Lineage: Eukaryota; Metazoa; Chordata; Actinopteri; Salmoniformes; Salmonidae
Description: lncRNA (ENSOMYG00000014537.2)
Source: RNAcentral